Long non-coding RNA from Hibiscus syriacus, 706 nucleotides. RefSeq lists it as uncharacterized. The transcript has 5 exons. Lineage: Eukaryota; Viridiplantae; Streptophyta; Magnoliopsida; Malvales; Malvaceae. The record is from RefSeq and is a predicted model, not a curated record.
UUGUUCAGGAACCUGAGUACUAAUUCCUUGGACAACACUCUACCAAUUGGGCUUGGACAAAAGUCCCUUGCACGAUUAGAUUUGUCAAAUAAUUAAUUCUCAGGUUCUAUACCGGAAAGUUUAACAUCUUCAAAUCUGCAGCUUGUGAGACUUAACAAUAACUUAUUGGAAGGGCGAGUACCGGAGGAACUUUAUUCUGUUGGUGUGCAUGGAGGAACCAUUGAUCUCUCUGGUAACAAAGACUUGUGUGGAGUUCUUUACCGGAUUGUCCUAUGUUUUGGGAGAAUGGUCGUUUGUCUGAAGGUGGUAAAAUUGCAAUAGGCCUGUCAUGCUUCUUUUUUGUCGCUGUGCUGCUACUGGUGAUCAACAUAUUCUGUAUCAGGAGGGGUAGAAAUGAUUAUGAUUUUGGUCUAUCUUCAGAUUUAAUACGCAAGUAUUAUCUCACACUUGCUGCAGAGAGGAACAGGUAUCAAAGACAGAAGUCACUGAUGCAUCUUGAAAUGGAGGGUCAGCAUGCUAAGGGGUUGCCAUCACUUCACCUUAAUCCUCAUUAGUCGUCAGCCAGCCAGCAUUACAAGGUAGACUUUUACUGGUUUUUAGUAGUUUUCCACUCACUCACCAAGAAGUCGCAUAUCUAGAUUAGAGGGGGACCAUGAAAUUGCAAUUAUAGAAAGAGAACAUACCACAAAAUAAGCAAGUGAAUGAA